AGACACUUUAAUAAUGGAGCAGAGCACUCGCUGGUCGGAAGGUGCAGGUCGCAGAGGUGGAACCCCUGAGCAGACAGGCACUCCAUGAAUGCUCCUUUGCAGAAUUGGAUGGAACGACACUCUAUGCCGAGCAUCACUCCGGGGUGAUACAAGGAGAGGGGACUAUCAGGUGGGCCCAGUGGAUGCACAUUACUGGAAGACAGAUUUGUGAAGAGUUGAAGGGGGUGCGGAGUGGACAUCAUUACAAUAAUAUGUUUCAUACAAGGAAGAGCAGU
Cercocebus atys (sooty mangabey) is the source of this 275-nucleotide long non-coding RNA. RefSeq lists it as uncharacterized. The transcript has 3 exons. NCBI's taxonomy places the organism in Eukaryota, Metazoa, Chordata, Mammalia, Primates, Cercopithecidae. The record is from RefSeq and is a predicted model, not a curated record.